GAACGCGGUAGUCAAAGUCCGUCUCAACGGCGUGGCUCGACGUCCGCUUCCUAUCUACAGGUAAUGGCCCUCUUCCUUCACGGGUUGGGGUGUCCGUUCCUGUUCAUUUACUUUGAAAAAAUUCGCGCGCUCAAGGCAGGCGUAAAGCUAUGAAGACAUAAGCAUGGGAUAAUAGAAUACGACUUUGGUCAUAUUUUGUUGGUUUCUUUGGCUGAGGUA
Molecule: ribosomal RNA, 219 nt
Filed under: uncultured fungus
Lineage: Eukaryota; Fungi
Description: partial small subunit ribosomal RNA
Source: RNAcentral